RNAcentral lists this long non-coding RNA (249 nucleotides) under Phoenix dactylifera (date palm). RNAcentral describes it as "long non-coding RNA (PDAC_LNC007653)". The record is from RNAcentral. Lineage: Eukaryota; Viridiplantae; Streptophyta; Magnoliopsida; Arecales; Arecaceae.
UGAUAUCAGGCACUGUGGAUAUUACUUCUAGUUGAAGUUAAUUAUUUUGGUGGCAAAUUAAGAUUCAUUUAUAAAAAGAUGUUUAAAGCUUGGACUAGAAAAUAUUCAUUGAAAUCUGUAUGUGGAUCAUGCAUGGAACUCGUAUAUAGAAGAAAAAUAUACUUGGGGAUGAGACUUAAGAAUUCUUAUUUGGCUCUACUUGAGACUUGAAACAAUUAAGAUUGAUAUUUUGAUGGAAAGUCAAUUAGU